This 292-nucleotide ribosomal RNA is filed under the name uncultured Pseudomonas sp. RNAcentral's name for it is "partial 16S ribosomal RNA". It matches the Rfam family "Bacterial small subunit ribosomal RNA", at positions 505 to 796 of the family's 1533-position model. The record is from RNAcentral. Lineage: Bacteria; Pseudomonadati; Pseudomonadota; Gammaproteobacteria; Pseudomonadales; Pseudomonadaceae.
GUGCCAGCCGCCGCGGUAAUACGAAGGGUGCAAGCGUUACUCGGAAUUACUGGGCGUAAAGCGUGCGUAGGUGGUCGUUUAAGUCCGUUGUGAAAGCCCUGGGCUCAACCUGGGAACUGCAGUGGAUACUGGGCGACUAGAGUGUGGUAGAGGGUAGCGGAAUUCCUGGUGUAGCAGUGAAAUGCGUAGAGAUCAGGAGGAACAUCCAUGGCGAAGGCAGCUACCUGGACCAACACUGACACUGAGGCACGAAAGCGUGGGGAGCAAACAGGAUUAGAUACCCCGGUAGUCC